AACGAACGCUGGCGGCGUGCCUAACACAUGCAAGUCGUGCGGGAAAGUGGGGGCAACUCCACGAGUAGAGCGGCGCACGGGUGAGUAACACGUAGGUAACCUGCCUUCGAGACUGGGAUAACCUGUCGAAAGACGGGCUAAGACCGGAUAAGACCACGGGGGUUGGAGGCUCCCGCGGUAAAAAGUAGGCCUCUGCUUGCAAGCUACUACUCGAGGAUGGGCCUGCGCGCCAUUAGCUAGNGGCGGGGGUAACGGCCCACCAAGGCAAAGAUGGCUAGCUGGUCUGAGAGGAUGGCCAGCCACACUGGGGACUGAGACACGGCCCAGACUCCUACGGGGAGGCAGCAGUGGGGAAUAUUGCGCAAUGGGCGAAAGCCUGACGCAGCGACGCCGCGUGGGUGAUGAAGG
RNAcentral lists this ribosomal RNA (408 nucleotides) under uncultured bacterium. RNAcentral describes it as "bacterial SSU rRNA". It matches the Rfam family "Bacterial small subunit ribosomal RNA", at positions 29 to 414 of the family's 1533-position model. The record is from RNAcentral.